GUGUGUGCAUUCCUUGUGCAUCCCUUUCGUGUUCCUCCUGCAUUCCAUGUGCAGCCUCGUGCAGCGUUUCUGCAUCCUCGUGUGCCCAGGUGCCUCAUUCACACUCCUGCACCCUUGUGUGUGUCCUUGUGCCCUCCUGGCUGUCCCUGUGCCUGUCUUUGUGCCCUCCUGGCUGUCCCUGUGCACACUCGUGUGUCCCUGUGUGGCCCCCAAGCACCCCUGCCCAUCCACGUGCAGCCCAGUGCAGGCCUGUGUGUCACUGUGCCCCCUUGUGCAGCGUUGCAUUGUGCAUUCUUGUGCAUCCCCAUGCAUGCUUGUGCAUCCUCCUGCAUCCUUCUACACCCCUGUGCAGGCUCAUGGAUCACGGUGCAUUCUCCUGCAUGCCAAUGCAUCCUCCUGCAUCCUCCUGCAUCCCUGCAUAUCCUCCUGGAUGAUAGUGCAUCCUGCUGCAUCCCUGUGCAUCCUCCUGUAUGCCAAUGCAUCCUCCUGCAUUCCAAUGCAUCCUCAUGCAUCCUUGUGCAUCCCCGUGCCUGCUCAUGCAUCCCUGUGCAUCCUCCUGCAUCCCUGUGCAUCCUCCUACACCCCUGUGCAUCCUCAUGCACUCCAAUGUAUCCUCCUGCAUCCCUGUGCAUCCCUGUGCCUGCUCAUGCAUCCCUGUGCAUCCUUCUGCACCCCUGUGUAUCCUCCUGCAUCCCUGUGCAUCCGUGUGCAUUCCAAUGCAUCCUCCUGCAUUCCAAUGCAUCCUCCUGCAUCCUCCUGCAUCCCUGUGCAUCCUCCUGCAUUCCAAUGCAUACUCCUGGAUUCCAGUGCAUCCUCCUGGAUUCCAGUGCAUCCUCCUGCAUCCCUGUGCAUCCCUGUGCCUGCUCAUGCACCCCUGUGCAUCCUCCUGCAUCCCUGUGCAUUCUCCUGCAUCCCUGUGCAUCCUCCUGCAUUCCAAUGCAUUCUCCUGCAUCCUCAUGCACCCCUGUGCAUCCUCCUGCAUCCCUGUGCAUUCUCCUGCAUCCCUGUGCAUCCCUGUGC
Molecule: long non-coding RNA, 1020 nt
Filed under: Chloebia gouldiae (Gouldian finch)
Lineage: Eukaryota; Metazoa; Chordata; Aves; Passeriformes; Passeridae
Description: Erythrura gouldiae (Gouldian finch) lncRNA (ENSEGOG00005010984.1)
Source: RNAcentral